GUGGGGAAUCUUAGACAAUGGGGGAAACCCUGAUCUAGCCAUGCCGCGUGAGCGAUGAAGGCCUUAGGGUUGUAAAGCUCUUUCAGCUGGGAAGAUAAUGACGGUACCAGCAGAAGAAGCCCCGGCUAACUCCGUGCCAGCAGCCGCGGUAAUACGGUGGGGGCUAGCGUUGUUCGGAAUUACUGGGCGUAAAGCGCGCGUAGGCGGACCAGAAAGUUGGAGGUGAAAUCCCAGGGCUCAACCUUGGAACUGCCUUCAAAACUCCUGGUCUGGAGUUCGAGAGAGGUGAGUGGAAUUCCGAGUGUAGAGGUGAAAUUCGUAGAUAUUCGCAAGAACACCGGUGGCGAAGGCGGCCAACUGGUCCAUUACUGACGCUGAGGUGCGAAAGCGUGGGGAGCAAACAGGAUUAGAAACCCUUGUAGUCC
Molecule: ribosomal RNA, 425 nt
Filed under: uncultured bacterium
Lineage: Bacteria
Description: partial 16S ribosomal RNA
Rfam family: Bacterial small subunit ribosomal RNA
Source: RNAcentral